Non-coding RNA from Pelobates cultripes (western spadefoot toad), 223 nucleotides. The record is from the annotation of a GenBank genome assembly. NCBI's taxonomy places the organism in Eukaryota, Metazoa, Chordata, Amphibia, Anura, Pelobatidae.
UGCUGAGAUGUAUCCAGUACUAGACACAAGGUAAGACUGGAAUAGGCACCAAACAAGAAAACAAGACAAAACUAGUAGAACCCAGAACCAGAGAAGGAUAGAAAGCAAAACCCAGAACAUGUACACAAUACAAAAGGGAAACAUUAACAGAACAUGGGCAAGACAGGACAGGACUGUACAUGGACUUGGAAUACAAAAUAAAACAAGACAAGAUAUAUAAGGC